RNAcentral lists this transfer RNA (73 nucleotides) under Ailuropoda melanoleuca (giant panda). It matches the Rfam family "tRNA". Rfam says of the family: Transfer RNA (tRNA) molecules are approximately 80 nucleotides in length. Lineage: Eukaryota; Metazoa; Chordata; Mammalia; Carnivora; Ursidae. The record is from Rfam by way of RNAcentral.
GCCCAGCUGGCUCAGUCGGUAGAGCAUGCAACUGUAGAAUCUGAGGCUGUGAGUUAGAGCCCCACUUUGGGUG